UUGACCUCAAAUCAGGUAGGCCUACCCACUGAACUUAAGCAUAUCAAUAAGUGGAGGAAAAGAAACUAACAAGGAUUCCCCUAGUAACUGCGAGUGAAGAGGGAAGAGCUCAAAUUUAAAAUCUGGCAGUAUUUUGCUGUCUGAGU
RNAcentral lists this ribosomal RNA (146 nucleotides) under Amanita fibrillopes. Its description in RNAcentral is "partial 28S ribosomal RNA". It matches the Rfam family "Eukaryotic large subunit ribosomal RNA", at positions 1 to 143 of the family's 3401-position model. The record is from RNAcentral. Lineage: Eukaryota; Fungi; Basidiomycota; Agaricomycetes; Agaricales; Amanitaceae.